UAAUACGAAGGGGGCAAGCGUUGUUCGGAAUUACUGGGCGUAAAGGGCGCGCAGGCGGCAUACGUAGUCAGGCGUGAAAGCCCCGGGCUUAACCUGGGAAUUGCGUUUGAUACUCGUAAGCUAGAGUUCGGGAGAGGUUGGUGGAAUUCCCAGUGUAGAGGUGAAAUUCGUAGAUAUUGGGAAGAACACCGGUGGCGAAGGCGGCCAACUGGACCGAAACUGACGCUGAGGCGCGAAAGCGUGGGGAGCAAACAGGAUUAGAUACCCUGGUAGUCCACGCCGUAAACGAUGUGUGCUAGACGUUGGCAGGCCUAGCUUGCCAGUGUCGAAGCUAACGCAGUAAGCACACCGCCUGGGGAGUACGGUCGCAAGAUUA
This 376-nucleotide ribosomal RNA is filed under the name uncultured bacterium. RNAcentral's name for it is "bacterial SSU rRNA". It matches the Rfam family "Bacterial small subunit ribosomal RNA", at positions 521 to 896 of the family's 1533-position model. The record is from RNAcentral.